GAUGAAGAACGCAGCAAAAUGCGAUAAGUAAUGUGAAUUGCAGAAUUCAGUGAAUCAUCGAAUCUUUGAACGCACAUUGCGCCCCCUGGUAUUCCGGGGGGCAUGCCUGUUCGAGCGUCAUUUCACCACUCAAGCCUCGCUUGGUAUUGGGCGACGCGGUCCGCCGCGCGCCUCAAAUCGACCGGCUGGGUCUUUCGUCCCCUCAGCGUUGUGGAAACUAUUCGCUAAAGGGUGCCGCGGGAGGCCACGCCGUAAAACAACCCCAUUUCUAAGGUUGACCUCGGAUCAGGUAGGGAUACCCGCUGAACUUAAGCAUAUCAAUAAGCGGAGGA
This 332-nucleotide unclassified non-coding RNA is filed under the name soil metagenome. Its description in RNAcentral is "partial contains 5.8S ribosomal RNA, internal transcribed spacer 2, and large subunit ribosomal RNA". The stretch from base 1 to 120 matches the Rfam family "5.8S ribosomal RNA", at positions 35 to 154 of the family's 154-position model. The record is from RNAcentral.